GCUGGCGUAGCUCAAUUGGCAGAGCAGCGGUUUUGUAAACCGCAGGUUGCGGGUUCGACUCCCACCGCCAGCU
RNAcentral lists this transfer RNA (73 nucleotides) under Planctomycetota bacterium. Its description in RNAcentral is "Planctomycetes bacterium (activated sludge metagenome) tRNA-Thr". It matches the Rfam family "tRNA". From Rfam's summary of the family: Transfer RNA (tRNA) molecules are approximately 80 nucleotides in length. Their secondary structure includes four short double-helical elements and three loops (D, anti-codon, and T loops). The record is from RNAcentral. Lineage: Bacteria; Pseudomonadati; Planctomycetota. RNAcentral also lists the same sequence under 2 other names.